AUUCAUUUGGGAACCAAUUGAUAUUACACCUUGAAGCUCUGAAGCUCUGAAGCUCUGAAACUCCGAAGCUCUCAAGCAUCCAGGUUCCCGAAGAAUCAAGAAAGUGUUCUUCGUUCUUCGUUCAUCGUUCUUCCAAGAUCAAGCCUCGACGGCCCUUGGAUCAACAAUCAUCCACCUUCAAGAUCAAGCCCCGACGGCCCUUGAAGAAAGCGUUCUUCGUUCUUCGUUCAUCGUUCUUCCAAGAUCAAGCCUCGACGGCCCUUGGAUCAACAAUCAUCCACCUUCAAGAUCAAGCCCCGACGGCCCUUGAAGAAAGCGUUCUUCGUUCUUCGUUCAUCGUUCUUCCAAGAUCAAGCCCCAACGGCCCUUUGGAUCAACAAUCAUCCACCAAUUCAAGAUCAAGCCCCGACGGCCCUUGAAGAAAGCACCAUCGUUCAUCAUCCGUUCAUCCAAGAUCAAGCCCCAACGGCCCUUUGGAUCAACAACGUCGACAAAAUCCACACAUCCAACCGUUCUUCAAGAUCAAGCCCAAAAGCCCUUGAAGAUCCGUUCAUCACUGUUCUUCAAGAUCAAGCCCAAAAGCCCUUGGAGAUCCGUUCAUCACUGUUCUUCAAAGAUCAAGCCCAAAAGCCCUUGAAGAUCCGCUCAAAUCCACCUUCAAAGAUCAAGCCCACGGCCCUUUGAAGAAACUUCCAACUGUUCAUCCAAGAUUAAGCCUCGACGGCCCUUGGAUCAACGAAACACCCACCAAUCAACACACCUUACGGAGAUCGAAUCAGAGGAUCAAAUUUGAGAGAGAUUGUAACCCAAAAUCAUCAAAUACUUAAUAUUUGUUUGUGCGCGUCGUUUCUUGUCUCUUUCGUUUCAGGAAUUUUUCCGUGUUCACAAAUUGGCACGCCCAGUGGGACAAUCUCUGCCUCAUCUCUUUUCUCCGUUCAAGAAAUUCAAGCGCGCUUCCAAAAUUAAUGGCAUCAAGGAAGGCUCAAACUGUUCCCGCAACCGGCGCAAAGAACAAAAGCGUCCUCGUCGCAACUGGUGUCACUUUGGGCAUCACGACUCGAAGCAUAGCAAGAGCUACUUCUGCCGCCUCUUUCACCUCUGCAUCAACUCUGCCAAGGGAACAAAAGCACCCAAGGCACGAGCCUUUGAUCACCUUAGCCUCACUAAGGGCACCAAGGGGGAAAAGCCCAAGGAAAUACUCCGAAUCCAUGCUCUCCGAUGCCGGUUCAAGCGACAGUUCAGCCAUGCAAGUCAUGACCAUUGGAGCAACUUCAAUCGAUGAGCAGCUGGCUCAAAUGAAUGAAGCAAUCGCAAGGCUAACCCGAAUUGUGGAAGAAAAAGACUUGCAAAUUGCAGCACUAGUCAACCGAUUGGAGGCACAAGACGGCGAUAUAAACCCGACCCAGAGGAUGAUCCACUAAAGGGAGGAGCUGGCGGAGACGAAGAACCCCCGGUGAAGAAAAUCAAUGGGAAGCCCGAGCCAGACCAAGCAGCGGCACUCAUGGGAUCUCUUUCUAUCCAGCAGCUGCAAAAGAUGAUCACCAACACCAUCAAGGCACAGUACGAAGGGAGCUCAAAUACCUCCGGGUUGUACUCAAAGCCGUAUUCAAAGAAGAUCGACGCCUUAAGGAUGCCGAGGGGUUAUCAACCACCAAAAGUUCAUGCAAUUUGAUGGAAAGGGAAACCCAAAACAGCACAUUGCCUACUUCGUUGAAACUUGCAACAACAACGCAGGAACCGAAGGGGACUACCUCGCCAAGCAGUUUGUGCGCUCGCUAAAAGGAAACGCCUUUGAAUGGUACACGGACCUAGAGCCUGAGUCCAUCAACAGUUGGGAGCAAUUGGAGCGGGAAUUCCUCAACCGCUUCUACAGCACUCGCCGCCGCACUGUGAGCAUGCUAGAGCUAACAAGCACAAAGCAGUGGAAGGACGAACCAGUCAUUGACUACAUCAACAGAUGGCGCACUCUUUAAGCCUCGACUGCAAAGACAGGCUCUCGGAAACCUCUUCAAUCGAGAUGUGCAUCCAAGGCAUGCAAUGGGGUUUGCAAUACAUCCUUCAAGGCAUUAAACCGCGGACCUUCGAGGAAUUGGCCACUCGCGCCCAUGACAUGGAGUUGAGCAUCGCCCAUCAUGGGAAGAAAGAACCGAUCGCCGACUACAAGAACGACAAAGCUCUUGGGACAAAGGUGGAAAAGGCUGCAUGGAAACCCACCAAGGAAGCGAUGACGGUCAACACAUCUCCCGUCAAAAUAUCCACACGAGGCAAGGCGAUUCAAACCGAAGCUUUUCGUGAUCAAGAGACGCGUAGACGCACUUUGAAGGAGCUUGAGGAGAAGACUUAUCCAUUCCCCGACUCUGAUGUGGUUGCCAUGCUAGAUGACCUAUUGGACAAGAAGGUGAUCAGUUUGCCUGAGUGCAGACGGCCGGAAGAGAUGAAUCGUACUGACAGUCCAAGAUACUGUAAAUUCCACCGCUUCAUCAGUCAUCCGACAGAAAAGUGUUUCGUGCUGAAAGAUCUCAUCAUGAAGCUGGCUCAGAAAGGAAUCAUCGAGCUAGAUCUUGACGAUGUGGGGGAGUCAAACUGUACCACCUUCACUUCUGGCUCUUCCGACUCAAAGGUUUCACCUCAACCGUUGGGGGCAUCCUCCAAGACAAGCAAAGUAGAAGGAUGGACUCAAGUCACUCCUAAGAAAUUGCACAAGAAACAUAUGUCUCCUCCACAAGUCCGCCAAUCGGAAAGGGGGCAAAGCAGCUCUUGUCAACCUUCAAAGCAACGUGAACGUGUUGAAGAUGAUGAAAUUUCGACACAUAGACUGUCCAUCCCCAUCACGAUGCGCGACUUCUUGCCCGAAAACUUCUUCAAACACACGGUCAAAGCUCCUUGCUAUGAAGAUUGCGAGGAACGACUUUCUCAGAUCGCUUGACGAACCAACCAAUGCUCCUUGUUCGCACGAGCCUAAAACUGCACGAACCAAAGCUCCUGGUCUGCACGAGCAUAAAAGGCAACACCAAAGCUCCUGGUCUGCACGAGCAUAAAAGGCAACACCAACGCUCCUGGUCUGCACGAGCCUAAAAGGCGACAACCCAAAGCUCCUUGUCUGCACGAGCUGAAACUACAACACGGCACCAAAUGCUCCUUGCCUGCACGAGCUGAAACUGCAACACGGCACCAAAUGCUCUUUGUUCGCACGAGCCUAAAACUGCACGAACCAAAGCUCCUGGUCUGCACGAGCAUAAAAGGCAACACCAAAGCUCCUGGUCUGCACGAGCCUAAAAGGCGACAACCCAAAGCUCCUUGUCUGCACGAGCUGAAACUGCAAACGGCACAAAAAAAAAGAAAAUACCAAAAAAAAAAUAUAUAUAUGUAUGUAUUUGAACUACGUUUUGACUUGAUCUCUUUCUUUGGAAGGGUACGUAGGUAGCUUGAAUAUUCAAUUACAAGUUCAGUCACAUCAAAAUAAAAAAUAAAUGCUUUAUUAAAUAGAGUCAAUUUUAUUUAAAAAAAAAUGAAUACAUAUGUUAUUAUGUAUUUAAAAAAAAAGAAACGUAUGUUAUUAUGUAAAAAAAAUAAUUAAAAAAAAAAAAAAAAAGAGAUACAUGUUUUAUGUAUUUACAAAAAAAAAAAGAAGAAAAAAAACAUAUGUUUUAUGUAUUAAUAUAUAUAUAUAUAUAUAUAUAUAUAUAUAUAUAAAGGGCCUCAGAAGCAGCCCGUGUCCAAAACCAGAUCAACCCAGGCUCGGCUGUCAAAGCCCAAGUCUCUCGCAGCUCUUUCUCCCUAGCGAGCUCAGCUCUCAUCCUCACUCGGCCCUAAGCCUCGUCUCCACCAAUAGAAAGGGAGUAAGAGCCCGGGCCUCCUUUUAUUUCACAGGCCCAGAUGCCAAGACCAAACCCGGCAAGAAGCCCAAAAGACCUUGCCAUCUUCCUCCCUGUCAGGAUCCGACAUUAAAGUCACCGUCGAUCUCUCCUGAUCAUCGUCAAUAGCUGCAAUACCACCUCAGCAGAUUUCGGUCAUGGCAUCAAAGCUCUGCGACUCUUGCCAAUCGGCGACGGCGACUCUGUACUGCCGCACCGACUCCGCCUUCCUCUGCGUCAACUGCAACUCCAAGAUCCACGCGGCCUCGUGGCUGCUCCCGAACCCCAAGGCGGUGGAAAAUCCAGAUCUGAACUCGGGGCAGUGCUUGUUCCAGGAAAUGGAUCCGUAUCUGGAUCUGGACUACGGGCUUUGGAUCCGAAACUUGAAGAAGCUCAGGAGCAGAACAGCUGCGGCGCGGACGGCGUCGUUCUGGUGCAGAGCAGGAACAUGCAGCCUCUGCUAGUUAACGACCACAGCUUCGAACUUGACUUCUCCGCCGACGCAACCCGAUUCCGGCAACCGCUUCUGGGGCCGAACCUUCUGCUCCCACGACUCUGUCGGAAAAUUCUCCUGCCUCACAGCCGACUGCAGCUCAGGAAAAUUGGAGUGCUCAGGCAACGGAGCCACCCCGCCCGCCACUCUCGCUGAAUUCACACUCGACGGCUCCGGCGGGCUUGAUUUCUACGCCGUCAGAACCACCGUCAGAGACCCAGUACGACUCCAAGCCUUGCCUCCUCUCUCACUCAGUCUCUCUGCAACUACAAGACAGAAUCUAAGUGCGAUGGCUACCGUUCCGGGACAACUGAUCUGGAAGAUUGCAAUGAAGAACAACUAAUUCCUAACAAAGGAGUUCGGCAGAGGCUCAAAGAAGACACCAGCAGCAAGCGAUUCUUCAAAGCGCUCCGAGAUCGAGCAGAAGCAAAUCCAGAAGCGCUAAGCCACCGCUGCAUCUUCCUCCGCCAACACAUCAUCCACUACGCCACGUCGUGCCAUCUCCACAGUCAUCCUCUUCUCCAUCGUCAUGUUCUCCAUCCAAACUACAUGGCACCGCCGCCAUCGCUGCAGCUACGACAGCCAACGUGUCAGCCUCUCCGGCAGUGCACGUCGCGUUUUCAAAUCUGGUUUUCUGGCGGGUUCGGAUCUGUCAGUAACCCCAUGCCCAUCUCAUCAUUCUCCUGCCCUUUGGAUCAUCUUCCCCGCUCUCCGCCGUUGAGAAACUCCUCCAUUGAAGAAGCAGCAGCCAUGCCGUUGCAGGAGUACGUGGACAGGAUGCGGUAAAUCUCUGGCACUCCAACCUCUCGCCAACUCCGACCGCGAUCCACCAGGCGAUGCAGCUGGGCACACCAAUCCACACCAUUGUCAAAAUGGAACGAGGAUCCUCUCUGCCUUCUCUCCGCCGUCUCUGCGACAUCCAGUUCGACAUGACAUAGGUGACGUGGAUGGUAGCGCCGUUCUUGAACUUCGAGGGUUGAAGCCGUUAAAGCUCAAUGGUUGUUGAAGCUCGGGUCUUGCUCAUCAUCCACGUUCUUCCCCAUGAACACGCUCAGCCCAAGUCACCAUCUCCUCCACCAUCGAGGUCGUCCCUACCUUGCCUCCGCUCAGUUCGAGGGUCUUGGGUUCGAAGUCCUUCUUUGCCUCGCUACUGUACCGUGGGACUUGGAUUGCAUCCCUCUCCUCCUCGACACUGUCACUCACUCAACCUCCCGAUCGCUGCGAUCUCAUUCCAAAUCGCGAGGAACACCCUUUGGUCCAAAUCCUGGGGCUGAGACCAUCCGACCCGGAAAAGACCUUGCGGGUCGCGAGAACUGCUUUGAAGAGAGCCCCCGCUGCUCCAGCUUCUGUGCAUGCUUCAUCCGUCAUCCUCGCCUGCUCUUUGUAAGCUUCCACCCCCGCGGCAGAUGGUCGCCCUUCAUCCCAUGCAGCGAACAUACAUAUAUAUAUAUAUAUGUAUAUGUAUGUAUGUAUAAUAAUAUUUAAAAAAAUUAAUAAUAAUAAUUAUAAAAAAAAAAAAAAAAAAUGGUGCGGUAUGAGUGGUGGUGAGUGUGAGCACCACAGAAAGCAAAAAAAUAUAUAUAUAAUAAUAAUUUUUUUUUUUUUUAAAUGAUGACAGGAAUCAUUGAUUGAAGGAUGGUGGUGUGGUAUGAGUGGUGGUGAGUGUGAGCACCACCGAAAGCAAAGAAGAAAAUAUAAUAAAAAAAAAAAUUUUGAUUUGGUAUGUGUGAGUACCACCGAAAAAAAAAAAGGGUUUUAUCUUUGGUGCGUCUGGCACCAUGAUUAAAGAAAAAAAAUGUUUGAUGUUUGGUGCUCUGCAACCAUAAAAAAAUAAAAAAUAAAUAAAAAAUGGGUGCACAAUGAUUAAAAAUAUAUAUAUACAUAUAUAAUAAAAAGACGGUGCAUUACGCACCAUCUGCAAAAAAAAAAAAAAAAAAAAAAAAAAAAAAGAAAAAAGUUUCUUUAUGCUUUUGGCACUAAAUAAAUAAAUAUAUAUAUAUACACACACAAAGAAUGAAAUAAGGCUCAUCUAUUGAUUUCUUUGAAAAUUUACAAAAAAAUGUACAUUUUACAUCAGUACAAAAAAAAAAAAAAAAAAAAAGUCAAAUCAAAUUUACAGGAGGGGAUCUUCAAGGAUGAUCAGGUGGCGCCUUAUCACUCGGCGAAACUCCAGGAAGAAGAGGAGCCGGAGGUUGAUCAUCUGGAGCUUCAUUACGCGGGACAGCCCCAGAAGACGAAGGCAAAUGCUGCUGGAACAAACCCACAAACCUCUGAUGAUCAAGUAAAAUUUGACCAUCAGAUUCCUGCAUCUGGUUAAUCUUCCUCUUCAUGUUUGUCGCAUAGCUAUGUGCGAGCUUAUGCAACUGUUUAUUCUCCUGCUUAAGCCCUCUAAUCUCCUGUUUGAGACUCAUCACUUCCGCCGCCAAUGAUUCAACUUGACAGGUUCGAGCAAAUAGGCGUUGGGCCAUAUUAGACACAGAACCUGCACACUGCACACUGAGAGCCAGAGAAUCCUUAACAGCCAACUCAUCAGACCGUUUGGAAAGUAGUCUGUUAUCUCUGGGAGUGACAAGGUUUCGGGCCACCACCGCAGCAGUCAUAUCAUUCUUCACCACUGAAUCCCCAACGGUAAGAGGACCAGUGGGGGAUAUGAAGGAUGGGCGCCAUAUGUUGUCUGGAGAAGAAGGGACUGCCUCUUCACCAAGAUUCAAGUCAAAACGACGAUCGGAUGGGCCAGACAUUUUCAAAGGUGUUAAAGAAAGAAGAGGUCGGACAAAUCGAGAUCUUAGAAGUGCAAGAAGGUACAAGCAAAAAUUCAAGUGUGCUUUGAAAUGAACUGCCUGCCUCUAUAAAAAAUCAGCACUCGACGGGAUUUCAGAGAUCGAAGAGGCGAGCUCUGAAUUCGAAGAGGCCAUUCAAAAAUCGAAGAGGCAAGCUCAGAAAUCGGAGAAGCAUCUUGCUUUUCCAGACACGUCGGCACCUGUCACACGCAAACUCAGCUUUGGAAAUCACGGGUAAUUUGUCGAAGCGCCGAUCCCAGAUAUCGAAGAGGCGCUAGUCUUUUUCAGCCGCAUCAUCACCUGUCAUAUGCACACUCAACUUUGCGCAAAUCACGGGCAAUUUGUCGAAGAUUUUCGGUGAAGGAGAAAGCACGUGAAAGUUUACUGUUCAAUCACGCGUUAGUUGCCGACACAAGUGAAAGAAUAGUACCUCUACAGGUAUUAAGGGACCUCCUAUAACUGUCCACCUUCACCUUCCAUAGCGAGGCAGACAUACAGAACCUUUCUUCAUCUCCGAGAAUGCCUUCCCAACGAAGCCUCUCGAGUCACUUAGUGUUCCUUAUUCCUUGGGGUACCUCUGUAAGCCAAUAACUUCAAAGCAAAAGUAUCUCAUAUCACCAGGGUAGAAAGCAAGAGUAUCUCAUAUCAUGCGUUCUCCCUGUCGUUUCCUUUGUCCUUGCUCCUACCUACAAAGACAAGGAUAAAGAAAACAAUAUGCCGGAACUUCCACUCAAACUCGGGUAAGGAACCGACUGCUUGGAACCCUUCCCUGAUUGCCUGCCUAGCACUGCUCUCGAGUACUCGUCUCCCACUGCUGCUGUACUUCCAUAGAAGCUGUCACAUCUGCCUGGAGAACAGAUAAGGCAAGUGAAAAUGAUACCUUGCAGCAUGUGGAGACAACGUGCUGAAGAAACAAGCAGAGAAGAAUGCGGCCUGCACAGUCAACUCAGCAGAAGGAGUCCGAGCUGAAGAACUCGAGAAGAUGCCACAUCUGCCUGGAGAACAAAUAAGGAAAUGCGGCAUGCACAAUCAACUCAGCAGAAGGAGUCUGAACUGAGAAACUCGAGCACAUGCCACAUUCUGCCAGAAGAAUAGAUAAGGCAAGGGAAAUGAUACAUUGAAGCAUGUGGAGACAAGCAUAAAGCACGUGCCGAUUCAUCCGCUACUUCUUCAAAAUCAAAAGUAUCUCAUAUCAUCAAAGUUGCAAUCACUCUGUGUGAAGGACUCGUUUUGACCCUCAAAUUCUUGGGUCGACUUACUAGGCGUUGUGAGCUGCACGUGUCGAUUCACCACCCUUGAAUCGAAUCCUUAAAGAUCAAGUCACCGACUGGAAGAAAAGCCCAUCAAUCUUGAAGAUCAUACCGUUGACCAAACUGCUCAGGUGUGAAUUAGAAAGAUUGAACAAAGAAACAGGUUGUCACCUUUACCUCGUGCCUGCUUGCCAUGUGUUCGAGUCAACCUUCAAGAAUCAAGCCUCAACGGCCCUUGAAGAAGUUUCCAGCCAAAUUCAAGAUCAAGCCUCGACGGCCCUUGAGGAAAUCACAAGUCCGAUUCAAGACUAAGUGUCUACCACCCUUGAAUCAAAACCUAGUUCCAGAAUAAGCUGUGGAAAAUCAACAAUUGGAGGAAUCUAGAAAAAAAACCUCCAACCCAGUUCAAGAUCAAAGCUGUGGAAGGUCAACAAGCGCAACAAAAUACGUGCCGAUUCGUCCACUACCAAAGCAAAAAAUCAUCUACCACAUGAAGCUCCUUGUGGUCCAAUUUCAACCUUCAAGAUCAAGUCUCGACGGCCCUUGAAGAAAUUUCAAACAAAAGUUCAAGAACAAGCCUCAACGGCCCUUGAAAAAAUCUCAAGCCCAAUUCAAGAUCAAGCCUCAACGGCCCUUGAAGAAAUCUCCAGCCCAAUUCAAGAUCAAGCCUCGACGGCCCUUGGAUCGACAUCUACAGUAAGGGACUUCAAAACGCAUCUCCUACACGUGACAAGCACAUGUAUACGACGUGCCUUGAAGUGGGGGCAUUUGUAGACAUCGAAAUUUCGGUAAAUAAAUGUUGACCGAUAAAUCAAAGUGUCAACGCUCAUGUAUUACAUAAAUUUUACAUGUAGCAUGUGACUCAACGAAAAUUGAAAUGAGUUGGAAAAGUCAUCAAAUAGGACACGUGUCAAUACCUGGCAGAAACGACUUAUUUCAUCUGGAAUAUUAUAUUCAAAAUUAGGCCUUGGAAAAUUCUAUAAAUACAAGCCCAAUUUCAUUCAUUUGGGAACCAAUUGAUAUUACACCUUGAAGCUCUGAAGCUCUGAAGCUCUGAAACUCCGAAGCUCUCAAGCAUCCAGGUUCCCGAAGAAUCAAGAAAGUGUUCUUCGUUCUUCGUUCAUCGUUCUUCCAAGAUCAAGACUCGACGGCCCUUGGAUCAACAAUCAUCCACCUUCAAGAUCAAGCCCCGACGGCCCUUGAAGAAAGCGUUCUUCGUUCUUCGUUCAUUGUUCUUCCAAGAUCAAGCCUCGACGGCCCUUGGAUCAACAAUCAUCCACCUUCAAGAUCAAGCCCCGACGGCCCUUGAAGAAAGCGUUCUUCGUUCUUCGUUCAUCGUUCUUCCAAGAUCAAGCCCCAACGGCCCUUUGGAUCAACAAUCAUCCACCAAUUCAAGAUCAAGCCCCGACGGCCCUUGAAGAAAGCACCAUCGUUCAUCAUCCGUUCAUCCAAGAUCAAGCCCCAACGGCCCUUUGGAUCAACAACGUCGACAAAAUCCACACAUCCAACCGUUCUUCAAGAUCAAGCCCAAAAGCCCUUGAAGAUCCGUUCAUCACUGUUCUUCAAGAUCAAGCCCAAAAGCCCUUGGAGAUCCGUUCAUCACUGUUCUUCAAAGAUCAAGCCCAAAAGCCCUUGAAGAUCCGCUCAAAUCCACCUUCAAAGAUCAAGCCCACGGCCCUUUGAAGAAACUUCCAACUGUUCAUCCAAGAUUAAGCCUCGACGGCCCUUGGAUCAACGAAACACCCACCAAUCAACACCUUACGGAGAUCGAAUCAGAGGAUCAAAUUUGAGAGAGAUUGUAACCCAAAAUCAUCAAAUACUUAAUAUUUGUUUGUGCGCGUCGUUUCUUGUCUCUUUCGUUUCAGGAAUUUUCCGUGUUCACAAUUACACGAUUCACAUUUUUAGACACAAAUGUAUUAAAUGUUUGCAGUUAAGAGUUUAAGAUUGAGAGAGAAGAACAAUAAAACUUGAUUGACGAGUAUAAUAAAUUCAACGCCAAUUGUUUCUCUUGUGUUUUUUUUCUUCUUCUAAAAUCAACAUCAAACUAACGAAUUAAAUAUUAAAAUAAUUCAUUAAAUAAAAAAUUAAUGAAAAAAUAUAUAUAAAUUCAAAGUUUUAAUUACCUUAAAGUACAAUCUUUAAGACCAUAUGAUAAUUGGUUUAAACAUUCAAUAGAAAUGGAGAGAAUGAGAAGUUGGUUUAAACAUUCGAUAUAAAUGGAGAGAAUGAGAAGUUGAAAGAAAAAGAUUACAAGGAGACUUGAGUUUUAUAACUUUAUAUGCAUUUGGACAGAUGGAUUGUGUAACAUCCCACAUCGCCUAUGGGAGUGGAUCUUGUAAGCCUUAUAUGUAUAUUCCCACAUCUUCCUAGCACGAGGCCUUUUGGGAGCUCACUGGCUUCGGGUUCCAUUGGAACUCCGAAGUUAAG
This 10804-nucleotide long non-coding RNA is filed under the name Malus domestica (apple). RNAcentral describes it as "long non-coding RNA (MDOM_LNC014337)". The record is from RNAcentral. Lineage: Eukaryota; Viridiplantae; Streptophyta; Magnoliopsida; Rosales; Rosaceae.